AGCAGUAGCCACGGUAAUACAGAGGGUGCAAGCGUUAAUCGGAGUUACUGGGCGUAAAGGGCGCGUAGGCGGUUAUAUAAGUGAGAUGUGAAAUCCCUGGGCUUAACCUAGGAACUGCAUCUUAUACUGUAUGGCUAGAGUAUUGUAGAGGGUAGUGGAAUUUCCGGUGUAGCGGUGAAAUGCGUAGAGAUCGGAAGGAACACCAGUGGCGAAGGCGGCUACCUGGACAAAUACUGACGCUGAGGCGCGAAAGCGUGGGGAGCAAACAGGAUUAGAUACCCCUGUAGUCCCUGUCUCUUAUAC
RNAcentral lists this ribosomal RNA (303 nucleotides) under uncultured bacterium. RNAcentral's name for it is "partial 16S ribosomal RNA". It matches the Rfam family "Bacterial small subunit ribosomal RNA", at positions 507 to 807 of the family's 1533-position model. The record is from RNAcentral.